This 310-nucleotide long non-coding RNA is filed under the name Carica papaya (papaya). RNAcentral describes it as "long non-coding RNA (CPAP_LNC014279)". Lineage: Eukaryota; Viridiplantae; Streptophyta; Magnoliopsida; Brassicales; Caricaceae. The record is from RNAcentral.
GGAGGUCAAAAUUCAAUUUAGAAAAGUUGUGCCAUGUCAGCAGCCCUAGCCAACCAGAACACGCCAUGUGGCAAAGAAGCUGACGCGGGAGGCCACGCGGGACGGAGCCACGUGGGCAAUCCGCAUGCACGCGAUUGAACGGUCCAGAUCUCAUGCGUAUGGACGGCCCAGAUCUCACGCGCACGGACGACCCAGAUCUCACGCGUGCGGACGGCCCAAAUUGAAUCACGCACACUUAGAAUUUUUAAUACAUACAUUUUUUUUAAAUUUCCGGGGCCGUUACAAAACUUGCAUUAGUUCCUGUGAUAAA